This 455-nucleotide ribosomal RNA is filed under the name uncultured bacterium. RNAcentral describes it as "bacterial SSU rRNA". It matches the Rfam family "Bacterial small subunit ribosomal RNA", at positions 340 to 786 of the family's 1533-position model. The record is from RNAcentral.
UACGGAAGGCAGCAGUGGGGAAUAUUGCACAAUGGGCGAAAGCCUGAUGCAGCUAUGCCGCGUGUAUGAAGAAGGCCUUAGGGUUGUAAAGUACUUUCAUCGGGGAGGAAAAACAAAACUAAUAAUUUUAUUUCUUGACGUUACCCGAAAAAGAAGCACCGGCUAACUCCGUGCCAGCAGCCGCGGUAAUACGGAGGGUGCCAGCGUUAAUCAGAAUUACUGGGCGUAAAGAGCACGUAGGUGGUUUUUUUAAGUCAGAUGUGAAAUCCCUGGGCUUAACCUAGGAACUGCAUUUUGAAACUGAAAUACUAGAGUAUCGUAGAGGGAGGUAGAAUUCUAGGUGUAGCGGUGAAAUGCGUAGAUAUCUGGAGGAAUACCUGUGGCGAAAGCGGCCUCCUAAACGAAUACUGACACUGAGGUGCGAAAGCGUGGGGAGCAAACAGGGAUUAGAUACC